GAUGAACGCUGGCGGCGUGCCUAAUACAUGCAAGUCGAGCGAACGGACGAGAAGCUUGCUUCUCUGAUGUUAGCGGCGGACGGGUGAGUAACACGUGGAUAACCUACCUAUAAGACUGGGAUAACUUCGGGAAACCGGAGCUAAUACCGGAUAAUAUUUUGAACCGCAUGGUUCAAAAGUGAAAGACGGUCUUGCUGUCACUUAUAGAUGGAUCCGCGCUGCAUUAGCUAGUUGGUAAGGUAACGGCUUACCAAGGCAACGAUGCAUAGCCGACCUGAGAGGGUGAUCGGCCACACUGGAACUGAGACACGGUCCAGACUCCUACGGGAGGCAGCAGUAGGGAACCUUCCGCAAUGGGCGAAAGCCUGACGGAGCAACGCCGCGUGAGUGAUGAAGGUCUUCGGAUCGUAAAACUCUGUUAUUAGGGAAGAACAUAUGUGUAAGUAACUGUGCACAUCUUGACGGUACCUAAUCAGAAAGCCACGGCUAACUACGUGCCAGCAGCCGCGGUAAUACGUAGGUGGCAAGCGUUAUCCGGAAUUAUUGGGCGUAAAGCGCGCGUAGGCGGUUUUUUAAGUCUGAUGUGAAAGCCCACGGCUCAACCGUGGAGGGUCAUUGGAAACUGGAAAACUUGAGUGCAGAAGAGGAAAGUGGAAUUCCAUGUGUAGCGGUGAAAUGCGCAGAGAUAUGGAGGAACACCAGUGGCGAAGGCGACUUUCUGGUCUGUAACUGACGCUGAUGUGCGAAAGCGUGGGGAUCAAACAGGAUUAGAUACCCUGGUAGUCCACGCCGUAAACGAUGAGUGCUAAGUGUUAGGGGGUUUCCGCCCCUUAGUGCUGCAGCUAACGCAUUAAGCACUCCGCCUGGGGAGUACGACCGCAAGGUUGAAACUCAAAGGAAUUGACGGGGACCCGCACAAGCGGUGGAGCAUGUGGUUUAAUUCGAAGCAACGCGAAGAACCUUACCAAAUCUUGACAUCCUUUGACAACUCUAGAGAUAGAGCUUUCCCCUUCGGGGGACAAAGUGACAGGUGGUGCAUGGUUGUCGUCAGCUCGUGUCGUGAGAUGUUGGGUUAAGUCCCGCAACGAGCGCAACCCUUAAGCUAAUUUGCCAUCAUUAAGUUGGGCACUCUAAGUUGACUGCCGGUGACAAACCGGAGGAAGGUGGGGAUGACGUCAAAUCAUCAUGCCCCUUAUGAUUUGGGCUACACACGUGCUACAAUGGACAAUACAAAGGGCAGCGAAACCGCGAGGUCAAGCAAAUCCCAUAAAGUUGUUCUCAGUUCGGAUUGUAGUCUGCAACUCGACUACAUGAAGCUGGAAUCGCUAGUAAUCGUAGAUCAGCAUGCUACGGUGAAUACGUUCCCGGGUCU
RNAcentral lists this ribosomal RNA (1372 nucleotides) under uncultured bacterium. RNAcentral describes it as "bacterial SSU rRNA". It matches the Rfam family "Bacterial small subunit ribosomal RNA", at positions 28 to 1381 of the family's 1533-position model. The record is from RNAcentral.